AUACAGAGGGUGCGAGCGUUAAUCGGAAUUACUGGGCGUAAAGCGCGCGUAGGCGGCUUAUUAAGUCAGAUGUGAAAUCCCCGGGCUCAACCUGGGAACUGCAUCUGAUACUGGUAAGCUAGAGUUUUGGAGAGGGAAGUAGAAUUUCAGGUGUAGCGGUGAAAUGAAUAGAGAUCUGAAGGAAUACCAGUGGCGAAGGCGACUUCCUGGCCAAAAACUGACGCUGAGGUGCGAAAGCGUGGGUAGCAAACGGGAUUAGAUACCCUAGUAGUCC
Molecule: ribosomal RNA, 274 nt
Filed under: uncultured bacterium
Lineage: Bacteria
Description: partial 16S ribosomal RNA
Rfam family: Bacterial small subunit ribosomal RNA
Source: RNAcentral